UGACACUUCAGUUUUUAUUAUCUAUUUUUCGUGUAUCUAGUACUUAUGUGAUUCUUUUCAUUUAUUACUAGUUAAUCACUUCUCUUUGAGCGAUGGAAACAGUGGGUGAUUCUAGAUCAAGUUCAAAAGAGAAGAGAUCAUUUGAGGUACAGAAAUGAUGAAAGCCAAGAUUGAGAUUGAUACUGACAGGUUCCUAGUGAGUAUUUGACAUUGAGGAACAAGUUUUUGGAAACACAUAGAGAAUAUAGUCUUUGACCGAGAAGUUUCAUGUUUUGUAAUCAAAUGUUGAAGUACAUUGUUUGAAUGUUAGUUCGGUACGAUAUUUUCUGAGUUGAAAUGUUGGUAGUGUGGAUUUAAUACUUUGUAGUUUUUAUACUAUACUGAUGUAUGUUGGCACUUAUCAUUAUGGUUGAUUAUGCUCAA
Asparagus officinalis (garden asparagus) is the source of this 423-nucleotide long non-coding RNA. RefSeq lists it as uncharacterized. The transcript is spliced from 2 exons. The record is from RefSeq and is a predicted model, not a curated record. Lineage: Eukaryota; Viridiplantae; Streptophyta; Magnoliopsida; Asparagales; Asparagaceae.